GAGACCCUCAAAGACAUCACUGAGGAGCCUCCAGAGACCCCCAAAGACAUCACUGAGGAGCCUCCAGAGACCCCAAAGGCAUCACUGAGGAGCCUCCAGAGACCCAAAAGACUUAACAGUUACAGACGAGGAUGGGACACGUGAUCCUGACCGCGUUCUGUAUGUGGGGCUGUUUACUGAUCGUGACUCUACUGAUAUCUGAGGAACAAUUGACAAGAGCAUCAAACUACAUCCAGCAGCACCUCUCUAAGAACCUUAACUCUAUAUAUUCCUACUUUGUCAAGUUGACUGAAGAAUACACCCAAGGGUUAACCUCCAACGUUUUACAGGAGACGAAGAAGAUGCUGGAAAAUGUACAAGAAAGUAAAUGACCAUCAUAUCUAUAAGGGAACAAGAAUGGUCGUGUCUUCAUACCACACAUAUAAAAAGGACAAUAAAGAACACAGCCGCCACGCGGUGAAUAAUGGAUCCAAACUACGGUUCCCCGAUCCACAGUCAGCUGACCAACGGCUCUUUGCUGGUUGUGCCAUAUUUUGUUCUUUUUACUCCCCAUGUGUAUUUAGAUGUGUCCUACCUGAUGGGAACUGUAACAUUUGACUGCUUUAAAAAUGAUGUUCCCCAAUAUCAGUGUUAUAAAGGGGACAUCAAACAUUAGAUUAAAGGUUUUACACCCAGAAAACCAAACAUAAAAAACAAUAACAAUAUCCUGUCAAUAAAAUCUAUCAGUAUAUUGAUCCCCCGCUCAUACGGGAUGUUAUGUUUUGCUCAAAUCAUGAACACUCACCAUCUUUAAUCCCAUAGCACCAUCUGUUUUAUUUCAGCACAGCUGCAGUCAUGUUUUUUUUUAGCUCUAUCUGUAUACUGCUGCUAUCUAUGUGGGAUUAAGAUAUAUAAUAGUUAUACACCCCCCUCCAGCUCUAUCUGUAUACUGCUGCUAUCUAUGUGGGAUUCAGA
Hyla sarda is the source of this 954-nucleotide long non-coding RNA. RefSeq lists it as uncharacterized. NCBI's taxonomy places the organism in Eukaryota, Metazoa, Chordata, Amphibia, Anura, Hylidae. The record is from RefSeq and is a predicted model, not a curated record. The transcript is spliced from 3 exons.